Molecule: ribosomal RNA, 1241 nt
Filed under: uncultured archaeon
Lineage: Archaea
Description: bacterial SSU rRNA
Rfam family: Archaeal small subunit ribosomal RNA
Source: RNAcentral
GCAAGUCGAGCGCCUUCUAGCUAUGGUGAAGGCGCGGCAAACGGCUCAGUAACACGUGGCCAACCUACCCUUGGGACGGAGACAACCCCGGGAAACUGGGGCUAAUCCCCGAUAGGUAAGGAAUCCUGGAAUGGAUCUUUGCUGAAAGGGCGUCUAGACCAUGCUUCUUGACGUCGCCCAAGGAUGGAGCCGCGGCCGAUCAGGUAGUUGGCGAGGCAACGGCUCACCAAGCCUAUAACCGGUACGGGCCGUGAGAGCGGUAGCCCGGAGAUGGGCACUGAGACAAGGGCCCAGGCCCCACGGGGCGCAGCAGUUGCGAAAACUCCGCAAUGCGCGAAAGCGUGACGGGGCUACCCCGAGUGCCGCCCGUUGAGGGCGGCUUUUCCACGGUGUAAGGAGCCGUGGGAAUAAGGAGAGGGCAAGACUGGUGUCAGCCGCCGCGGUAAUACCAGCUCUCCGAGUGGUGGGGACGAUUAUUGGGCUUAAAGCGUUCGUAGCCGGCUUAACAAGUCUUCCGUUAAAUCCAACGAUCUAAUCGUUGGGCUGCGGGAGAUACUGUUGGGCUAGGAGGCGGGAGAAGCCGACGGUAUUCCCGGGGUAGGGGUGAAAUCCUGUAAUCCCGGGGGGACACCAGUGGCGAAGGCGGUCGGCUAGAACGCGCUCGACGGUGAGGGACGAAAGCUGGGGGAGCGAACCGGAUUAGAAACCCGGAUAGUCCCAGCUGUAAACGAUGCGGGCUAGGUGUUGGGGUGGCCACGAGCCACUUCAGUGCCGCAUGGAAGCAAUUAAGCCCGCCGCCUGGGGAGUACGGCCGCAAGGCUGAAACUUAAAGGAAUUGGCGGGGGAGCACCACAAGGCGUGAAGCUUGCGGUUUAAUUGGAGUCAACGCCGGGAAACUUACCGGGGGCGACAGCAGUAUGAAAGCCAGAUUGAAGGUCUUGCUGGACGAGCUGAGAGGAGGUGCAUGGCCGUCGCCAGUUCGUGCAGUGAGGUGUCCUGUUAAGUCAGGCAACGAUCGAGACCCGCCUCCCUUGUUGCUACUGGUGAAUAGCCAGGCACACUAGGGAAACUGCCGUCGAUAAGGCGGAGGAAGGAGCGGGCCACGGCAGGUCAGUAUGCCCCGAAUCCCCCGGGCCACACGCGAGCUGCGAUGGCAGGGACAAUGGGUUUCAACCCUGAAAGGGGGAGGUAAUCUCUAACCCUGCCUCAGUUGGGAUCGAGGGCUGUACUCCCCCUCGUGA